This 17-nucleotide unclassified non-coding RNA is filed under the name Escherichia coli. RNAcentral's name for it is "P-site ASLPro from Escherichia coli (PDB 6NTA, chain QV)". The record is from RNAcentral. Lineage: Bacteria; Pseudomonadati; Pseudomonadota; Gammaproteobacteria; Enterobacterales; Enterobacteriaceae.
CUUCGUUCGGGACGAAG